This 1319-nucleotide long non-coding RNA is filed under the name Sus scrofa (pig). Its description in RNAcentral is "lncRNA (ENSSSCG00005020168.1)". Lineage: Eukaryota; Metazoa; Chordata; Mammalia; Artiodactyla; Suidae. The record is from RNAcentral.
GGGGCGGGGCUGGUGGUGGGCGGAGCCUAGGGGGCCUGUUUUGCUCCAACAGAAGUGUCACUAGAUUAGGUCUUUUGUGCGGUCGGGAAUGAGGGAGAAUUGGGUUCAGAAUCGUGCGCUCACGUGGUGUGCCUGAGGCCGCAAUCGUGCGUCGUGGACCAGACGGGCAGCGCGCACUGCGUGGUGUGUCGCGCGGCACCCUGCCCCGCACCCUCCAGCCCUGGCCAGGAGCUCUGUGGCAACAACAACGUCACCUACAUGUCCUCAUGCCACCUCCGCCAGGCCACCUGCUUCCUGGGCCGCUCCAUCGGCGUGCGUCACCCGGGCAGCUGUACAGGCACCCCUGAGCUGUUAGAUGCUGAGUCGGAGGAGGAGGAAGAGAACUUUGUGUGAGCCUGUGGGGCCGGCCUGGGCCUGGUGUUCAAGGUCUCCCCAUUUUAUUUAUUGCCACAGCAGAGUCUAAUUUAUGUCUGACGGACACUCCCCAGAGCCUGGACUGGUACCAUUUUGGGAGCCCUGGUGCUCCCCCUACGAUAUCUUGGCAGGAUUUGGGGAAGGAGGCCUGGGGGCCUGGCUGGUGGGUGGAUGGCACUGCACCUGCACCCCAGGCACCAUACUGCCCAGGAGGACCCCACUGCUUCUGCUCCUUGGGGGUAACUGUUAAUUAUCAUGGCCCCUGAGAGGGCUGGGGAUUUUCUGCCAGCAAGUAAUGAAGAGACACCCUGCCUUCUCAAACAGGAGCCAGGAGGUGAGAGGGAUCCAAGGCCUGGGUUUGUCCAGAUGAACACCAUGUCCUGUGGUGCCCAACCCACCUAGGCUUGCUCACUGGCUCAGGGUGGGGUGCAGAUGCCAAGACCCGCUGCACAUCUGGCAUCCUGGAGCUCUGCAUCCAUGGGUCACCCCUUGGUGUGAGUGCCUGCUGCCCUGUCCACAGGUGGGGUCCACACCUGGGACCCUUCAGUCCCCCACAUCCUGCCCUGGCCAGGCCGCUAGGUCCGGUGCCCAGCUGGACCCUCCUCGCCUGCCAGCUGGAUUCCCUUCACCUGCCUGGGCUGUUGCUGUGUGUCACCUGUGCCUGUGUGUGGACUGGAGGCUCAGACCUGAGGUUGGGGCCCAGUGGAGCAGGAGCCUAGCUCCACGAGUUCAGAACAUAGGGCAGUGGUGCUCGUCCUUCUCAGCCUCCAGGAAGUGCCUUAUCUGUGACACCAAGAAAGUGCCCUUGAAUAGUGGGUUUACCCUGAGCCCCCACCCGCACCCCGACAAGGCAACCUACCCCCUGGGGUCCUGCCUAUCCCACCAAAGAAAUAAACACUGAAAAA